GACGAACGCUGGCGGCGUGCUUAACACAUGCAAGUCGAACGGAAAGGCCCUGCUUUUGUGGGGUGCUCGAGUGGCGAACGGGUGAGUAACACGUGAGUAACCUGCCCUUGACUUUGGGAUAACUCCAGGAAACUGGGGCUAAUACCGGAUAGGAGCUCCUGCUGCACGGUGGGGGUUGGAAAGUUUCGGCGGUUGGGGAUGGACUCGCGGCUUAUCAGCUUGUUGGUGGGGUAGUGGCUUACCAAGGCUUUGACGGGUAGCCGGCCUGAGAGGGUGGCCGGCCACAUUGGGACUGAGGUACGGCCCAGAAUCCUACGGGAGGCAGCAGUGGAGAAUAUUGCACAGUGGGCGGAAGCCUGAUGCGACGACGCCGCGUGCGGGAUGACGGCCUUCGGGUUGUAAACCGCUUUCGCCUGUGACGAAGCGUGAGUGACGGUAAUGGGUAAAGAAGCACCGGCUAACUACGUG
This 468-nucleotide ribosomal RNA is filed under the name uncultured bacterium. RNAcentral's name for it is "partial 16S ribosomal RNA". It matches the Rfam family "Bacterial small subunit ribosomal RNA", at positions 28 to 507 of the family's 1533-position model. The record is from RNAcentral.